This 460-nucleotide ribosomal RNA is filed under the name uncultured bacterium. RNAcentral describes it as "partial 16S ribosomal RNA". It matches the Rfam family "Bacterial small subunit ribosomal RNA", at positions 338 to 795 of the family's 1533-position model. The record is from RNAcentral.
CCUACGGGUGGCAGCAGUGAGGAAUAUUGGUCAAUGGACGAGAGUCUGAACCAGCCAAGUAGCGUGAAGGAUGACUGCCCUAUGGGUUGUAAACUUCUUUUAUAUGGGAAUAAAAUGUUCCACGUGUGGGAUUUUGUAUGUACCAUAUGAAUAAGGAUCGGCUAACUCCGUGCCAGCAGCCGCGGUAAUACGGAGGAUCCGAGCGUUAUCCGGAUUUAUUGGGUUUAAAGGGAGCGUAGGUGGAUUGUUAAGUCAGUUGUGAAAGUUUGCGGCUCAACCGUAAAAUUGCAGUUGAAACUGGCAGUCUUGAGUACAGUAGAGGUUGGCGGAAUUCGUGGUGGAGCGGUGAAAUGCUUAGAUAUCACGAAGAACUCCGAUUGCGAAGGCAGUUCACUGGACUGCAACUGACACUGAGGCUCGAAAGUGUGAGUAUCAAACAGGAUUAGAUACCCUAGUAGUC